GGAUUCCCCUAGUAACUGCGAGUGAAGCGGGAAAAGCUCAAAUUUAAAAUUUGGCGGUCUCUGGCCGUCCGAGUUGUAAUCUAGAGAAGUGCUGCCCGCGCUGGACCGUGUACAAGUCUCCUGGAAUGGAGCGUCAUAGAGGGUGAGAAUCCCGUCUUUGACACGGACUACCAGGGCUUUGUGGUACGCUCUCAAAGAGUCGAGUUGUUUGGGAAUGCAGCUCAAAAUGGGUGGUAAAUUCCAUCUAAAGCUAAAUAUUGGCGAGAGACCGAUAGCGAACAAGUACCGUGAGGGAAAGAUGAAAAGAACUUUGGAAAGAGAGUUAAACAGUACGUGAAAUUGCUGAAAGGGAAACGCUUGAAGUCAGUCGCGUUGGCCGGGGAUCAGCCUCGCUCUUUUGCGUGGUGUACUUUCCGGUCGACGGGUCAGCAUCAGUUUUGAUCGCUGGAAAAAGGCCUGAGGAAUGUGGCAGCUCCGGCUGUGUUAUAGCUUCUGGUCACAUACAGCGGUUGGGAUUGAGGAACUCAGCACGCCGCAAGGCCGGGUUUCGACCACGUUCGUGCUUAGGAUGCUGGCAUAAUGGCUUUAAGCGACCCGUCUUGAAACACGGACCAAGGAGUCUAACAUGCCUGCGAGUGUUUGGGUGGAAAACCCGAGCGCGUAAUGAAAGUGAAAGUUGAGAUCCCUGUCGCGGGGAGCAUCGACGCCCGGACCAGAACUUUUGGGACGGAUCCGCGGUAGAGCAUGUAUGUUGGGACCCGAAAGAUGGUGAACUAUGCCUGAAUAGGGUGAAGCCAGAGGAAACUCUGGUGGAGGCUCGUAGCGAUUCUGACGUGCAAAUCGAUCGUCAAAU
RNAcentral lists this ribosomal RNA (853 nucleotides) under Leucocoprinus nympharum. Its description in RNAcentral is "LSU rRNA". It matches the Rfam family "Eukaryotic large subunit ribosomal RNA", at positions 72 to 910 of the family's 3401-position model. Lineage: Eukaryota; Fungi; Basidiomycota; Agaricomycetes; Agaricales; Agaricaceae. The record is from RNAcentral.